UUUAACACAUCAAACGAGACAAAAUAUAAGAAAGACCCACUUGAAGGUGAAUUCUAGUUAACUCCAUUUUUCUAUUUUUCUAGUUUGCAUUUAAUUGUGAAAUGUUUGUAUUUUUCUAGUCAACACCAAUUUUAAUUUACAAGUUUUUUCAAGCAUUUCUACUAAUUUCAACUUUUAUAAAACCUUUUGGAGUUUACUGAUUAGUUAUGCCACUUUGAACUUUUGGAAAUGGAUGUUCAUUUUCUCUUAGUGUCCUAGAAAAUAGUUUGGGAGGAGAUCUGCUUGUUGUUGUUUUCUUGACAAAUUUUGAAAGAGAUCUUAGUUUCCUACUUUCUCAAACUUAAGACCUUGUAAGGGUACAAGUACCAACUCACUUGACUAGGUAAUUACUAUUUAACAUAGAUUCAUCAUCUUUCCUUCCACAUAAUUAUAUCAUUUGCAUCAAUUGCUAAGGUUUAUUAAAGGCACCAAAUGCCAACAAUCACUUAGUUCCCCUAUUGCCAUGUAUGUUAUAAUCAAAACCUAUUUCAUUGUGAACAUAAUCAAACCUCUGUUAUCAGCAACAAAAAAGAAUUCAAGACUGGGGACUUAAGUAUAUAUAAGUUCAAGCACUUAUAAGAUGGACUACAUUUGUUAUCAUAACCUUUGCAAGAGUGUUAAUGCAGGACAUUUGUCAAAUUCAUUGAUUCCCUUCUCACGGAGAUCAUUUACUUGUUGCUGCUAUAUUUCUUGAGUGUGUUGCUUUCCAAAUUUCACAAAGAUCUGGUAAAGAUAGAAGUAUCAUUUCACUGCCUCACUAAACUAGGUAAUUUUUUUUAUAAAUUCAUUAUCUUGCCUUCAUCGUAAUUAUUUUGGUUCUUUGUUUUGUGUCAUGCUUUUAAUAAUUUUCUUUAAUUCAUGUUUCUGUUCUUUUUCCUUUUCUUUUAUUCUUUUAAUUAGGUAGAAAAUAAUUAUAGUAAGUGAAAAUUGAAAAUAAGUUAUGCUAUGAAUAUAAGUAUCAUGAAAUUUAUUUGAGUUUCUUUCUUAGGGUAUUCUCUAUCAUCUCCAUCAAGAUUUUUAAGACCUAAGGCUGUUGCAGAGGAAGUUGUUUUAAGAGAACUUACUGAGGGAAUUACUCUUUGUUUUCUACAACUUGCGAUUCUAAUGCUGGCUAUAUUAUUAAUUUAUUAUAAUAGAAGCAAAUUGAAUCUAUAUAUUAAUAGUUGUGAAAUAGUGUUAUAUAAUAAAGUAUAAACUUUACAUUGAGUAUAAAUGGGCAUUUUUUUUGGUUUAUUUUCUUAUUUGGGGUGUAGUUACAUAUAAACAAAAUUAGGUUGGAAGGAGAUAUAAAUGGUUUGUUUUAUUUAGCUUUUUAAGCAAGGAUAACCAUUCUUAGGAUCACACCAUCACCAAACCCUUAUGUUCCUUCUCAAAUCAAGGUUUCCAAGCAAAGGUUAGCAUCUAAAAGAUAAAUCUAGAUUUCAACCUCUUUAUAUCUUUGCAUUUGGGAUUCAAAUGUAUAGAAAAAAAAAGCUUGGAUUGCAUUGGUGAUUAAAGAAGCUGGCUUGAUAAUGAUGACUACCACUAGUCUCUUCUUAGUUGUUAACUUUUAUUUGUUAAUUAUGAUAUUUGAUUUUUGAAAUGUAUUGUGAUCAAUAUACUUACUUUCCUUUAGACACCCAACUGGAUUAAAAGAGUUGAAACAAUGAUUAAUAUUGUAACUUGCAGGGUACCAAGUAAUGCCUCUUCUGCAAUAUAUUCUUAUCCACAUGGU
This 1753-nucleotide long non-coding RNA is filed under the name Theobroma cacao (cacao). RNAcentral describes it as "long non-coding RNA (TCAC_LNC004810)". Lineage: Eukaryota; Viridiplantae; Streptophyta; Magnoliopsida; Malvales; Malvaceae. The record is from RNAcentral.